GCAGUCAAGGGCACUGAGACCGUGGAGGGACCCCAGAAGUAUUGCAGUCUGACCUCCUGCUCUCAGGCCGGUCAGAGUCACCACCAGCGGUUGGCAGUGCUCCAGAGAAAAGGAAACGGAGGUCUGGAGAAAUGAUGCAGGUUGGUGGCAAACCCAAGAUUCACCUGGAAAAAAUUCCAUUCUCCUCAAAAUGUGGCUAUCAAGGCCUAAGAUGAUCUUGGAAGCUGCAGGCUGAAGAUGGCAGGGCCUGAGUCCCUGAGCUACUGUGUGGAGUAGAGCCCCACCUCCUGCUGACCAGGAAUAUAGGCACUGGUGGUUACAUAAACAGACAACUGGGGAUUCUUUGAGCUGAAAGAGCUUCGUGAAGCUGCGGUAUCCAGCUCCCUGGCUGGACAGACGAGGAGGCCAAGGAGCAAAAAGAAGAGGUGACCUGUAGACUAUAUGAUCACCAGUGAAGCUGACUGACAAGGGAUGAAGAGUGAAAAUUACAAUUUGAGAACCUCUUUGGUCAGCUAUUGGGAAAGAAUGAACUCUCCCCUGUGCAAACCACCUCACGAUUUUUCAGGAAGCCAGGGCGAGGAACUUGGAUUCCAAAGCCUAGAGAAAGAUGGCUGACUCGGGGCGGCUGCGCUGCGUUCUCUCCCCUGUGAACUUUGCUCACGUUUUGGACUGGGCAGCAUCUCGCGGUCUGCUCGAGCGGGCUGCCCUUCUGCUUAGAGCUGGACAGUGUUCUCGUCUGCUAGAACGGGAUUUUAUGGUCAACAGGACAUUGCCAUGUGUCACUGCAACACUUAGAGGGUAGUUUGAACUGGG
RNAcentral lists this long non-coding RNA (813 nucleotides) under Homo sapiens (human). RNAcentral's name for it is "HSALNT0215364". The record is from RNAcentral. Lineage: Eukaryota; Metazoa; Chordata; Mammalia; Primates; Hominidae.